RNAcentral lists this ribosomal RNA (464 nucleotides) under Escherichia coli. RNAcentral's name for it is "partial 23S ribosomal RNA". It matches the Rfam family "Bacterial large subunit ribosomal RNA", at positions 2190 to 2653 of the family's 2925-position model. The record is from RNAcentral. Lineage: Bacteria; Pseudomonadati; Pseudomonadota; Gammaproteobacteria; Enterobacterales; Enterobacteriaceae.
CCUUGAAAUACCACCCUUUAAUGUUUGAUGUUCUAACGUUGACCCGUGAUCCGGGUUGCGGACAGUGUCUGGUGGGUAGUUUGACUGGGGCGGUCUCCUCCUAAAGAGUAACGGAGGAGCACGAAGGUUGGCUAAUCCUGGUCGGACAUCAGGAGGUUAGUGCAAUGGCAUAAGCCAGCUUGACUGCGAGCGUGACGGCGCGAGCAGGUGCGAAAGCAGGUCAUAGUGAUCCGGUGGUUCUGAAUGGAAGGGCCAUCGCUCAACGGAUAAAAGGUACUCCGGGGAUAACAGGCUGAUACCGCCCAAGAGUUCAUAUCGACGGCGGUGUUUGGCACCUCGAUGUCGGCUCAUCACAUCCUGGGGCUGAAGUAGGUCCCAAGGGUAUGGCUGUUCGCCAUUUAAAGUGGUACGCGAGCUGGGUUUAGAACGUCGUGAGACAGUUCGGUCCCUAUCUGCCGUGGGCG